AGAGUUUGAUCAUGGCUCAGAAUGAACGCUGGCGGCGUGCUUAACACAUGCAAGUCGCACGAGAACUCUUCUGCUUGCAGAAGAUAGUAAAGUGGCGCACGGGUGAGUAACGCGUGGGUAAUCUACCUCUGAAUUGGGGAUAACAUUGUGAAAGCGAUGCUAAUACCGAAUAAUAUCCCGAGAACUUAGGCUUUUGGGAUCAAAGGUGGCCUCUACAUGUAAGCUACUGUUUAGAGAUGAGCCCGCGUACCAUUAGCUUGUUGGUAGGGUAAUGGCCUACCAAGGCAACGAUGGUUAGCUGGUCUGAGAGGAUGAUCAGCCACACUGGAACUGACACACGGUCCAGACUCCUACGGGAGGCAGCAGUGAGGAAUUUUGCGCAAUGGGGGAAACCCUGACGCAGCAACGCCGCGUGAGUGAUGAAGGCUUUCGGGUCGUAAAGCUCUGUCAAGUGGGAAGAACCUGCUAUAUGAUAAUACCAUAUKGCACUGACGGUACCACUGAAGGAAGCACCGGCUAACUCCGUGCCAGCAGCCGCGGUAAUA
RNAcentral lists this ribosomal RNA (545 nucleotides) under uncultured bacterium. Its description in RNAcentral is "bacterial SSU rRNA". It matches the Rfam family "Bacterial small subunit ribosomal RNA", at positions 8 to 525 of the family's 1533-position model. The record is from RNAcentral.